RNAcentral lists this ribosomal RNA (323 nucleotides) under uncultured bacterium. Its description in RNAcentral is "bacterial SSU rRNA". It matches the Rfam family "Bacterial small subunit ribosomal RNA", at positions 28 to 334 of the family's 1533-position model. The record is from RNAcentral.
GAUGAACGCUGGCGGCGUGCUUAACACAUGCAAGUCGAGCGAAGCACUUUUGCGGAUUUCUUCGGAUUGAAGCAACUGUGACUGAGCGGCGACGGGUGAAGGUACGCGUGGUAACCUGCCUCAUACAGGGGGAUAACAGUUGGAAACGGCUGCUAAUACCGCAUAAGCGCACAGUACCGCAUGGUACGGUGUGAAAAACUCCGGUGGUAUGAGAUGGACCCGCGUCUGAUUAGGUAGUUGGUGGGGUAACGGCCUACCAAGCCGACGAUCAGUAGCCGACCUGAGAGGGUGACCGGCCACAUUGGGACUGAGACACGGCCCAA